GGUGCAAUCCUGGCUCACUGCAACCUCUGCCUCCCAGGUUCAAGUGAUUCUCCUGCCUCAGCUUCCCGAGUAGCUGGGACUACAGGCGUGUGCCACCACGCCCAGAGGCCAGGUGCAGUGCAUGUAAUCCCAGCACUUUGGGAGACUGAGAUGGGAAGAUCGCUUGAGGCCAGGAGUGCAAGACCAGCCUGGGCAACACAGCAAGACCUUGACUCUACUAAAAAAAAAAAAGGAUCCUUCAACUUCAACAAUAAUAACACGAGGGAAGUGAAGAAAAACACUUUCUAAGGAAAUCUCUCUCUGAGCUACCAUCCUGCUAGGGAGAGCCUGAAAGCAGAAUGCUGACUUGACUAGCUCUGGUCAAUGAAAGAAAUCACUAGUGGAAAGGCUACCAGGGGGCUUUCUCAAAAGAGAGGGACAGUAAACUGCAAGAUGAACAACUCAAUGCCAUCCAGGUCUGGAUGAGAAAGAACAGUCGAGAGACUGAGUUUCAGGAGUGGAAACACCCAAAGCAUCAUCUUCCACUUUCUUCUCCGGCUGCUAGGAAGAAGGGAAAAACACAGACCUUCUGAGGACCUGUGGAGCAAACCACUGGCUUCAGAAAAGCAAACAGGGACUUCCCUCUGCGCAGCAGGAAGCAGUUAGCCUAGUCGGAGGCUUGACUGAAGAAACAAAUGAGGGAAAGCAGAAGUUGAGAUGCAGCCAGUAGAGGAAACUCUGGGAGAGGCAGGCAGCGUCACUUGAAGAAAAGCUCUGUUGUGAUGGGAACAAUCACAGGAACUAAGCGGCAACAAAAUGGCUCCCCACCCCCUCUGCAAAUCCCAACUCCAUGCAAGCACUCUCCCUUCCCUCAUUUUCUUUUCUUUUCUUUUGAGAUGGAGUCUCGCUCUGUUGCCCAGGCUGGAGUGCAGUAGCGCGAUCUCGGCUCACUGCAACCUCCACCUUCUGGUUUCAAGCAAUUCUCCUGCCUCGGCCUCCCCAGUAGCUGGGACUACAGGCGUGUGCCACCACGCCCGGCUAAUUUUUUUUUUUUUUUUUAGUAGAGACAGAGUUUCACCAUGUUGGCCAGGCUGGUCUCGAACUCCUGGCCUCAAGUGAUCCACCUGCCUCAGCCUCCCAAAGUGGUGGGAUUACAGGUGUAAGCGACCACGCCCGGCCUUUUAAAAUCGACUUGAGUCUCAUCUCCUGAAAUGCAAAAUGCAUUGGGCCUGUCUCUUACUUUUGCAUGUCUCAUAAUGCUUAGCACAGCACAAGCCCCGAGAGCGCAUCAUACACCCUGGGGUGGGGAGCUCCUGGCAGGGCUGGAUCCACUCACCAUUCCUGCCAUCCAUUGGCACUUGGCUCAGCACAGUUAGGCCAACAAGGACAUAAUAGACAAGUCCAAAACAGUACUGCACGACGUGAAUCAUGACAUUGGAGAAGACACUGACGUAGAGGCACUCGAAGAGUCUUCGUAAGCUGUGCAGCCACAGAAAUACUAGCACUAAGAAUGCAGACAGUGCCAGCUCCCCUCCUACAAUUCAGAAGGCAACAGGGUCAGCAUUUCUCUUCUGGGAUUAAUCCAAAGUUUUGUUUUUCCGUACUGUUAAGCAAAGUAUUAAAUCCCGUCUAACAUC
RNAcentral lists this non-coding RNA (1616 nucleotides) under Pan troglodytes (chimpanzee). The record is from RNAcentral. Lineage: Eukaryota; Metazoa; Chordata; Mammalia; Primates; Hominidae.